RNAcentral lists this unclassified non-coding RNA (215 nucleotides) under Hevea brasiliensis (rubber tree). Lineage: Eukaryota; Viridiplantae; Streptophyta; Magnoliopsida; Malpighiales; Euphorbiaceae. The record is from RNAcentral.
AUUUGUCAUGACUCAAAAGUCAGUGUAAGGCAGACAUAACUACUCGUCUGCAAUUUUCUGAUAAUGAUCAUGUAUAUGUGUCGGGAUAUGGAGCUGAGCCAGGAAUAUUCUAGUAGAUGGAGGGAAGGUUCUGGAAAUAGAACAGUUAAUUGGUAGGCCACGCCAGCUGGUGCAUAACAGAAUCACAUGUGCAGAAGCUUAUAAAUAGGGAAGAG